This 72-nucleotide transfer RNA is filed under the name Ictidomys tridecemlineatus (thirteen-lined ground squirrel). RNAcentral describes it as "Spermophilus tridecemlineatus (thirteen-lined ground squirrel) tRNA". It matches the Rfam family "tRNA". Rfam says of the family: Transfer RNA (tRNA) molecules are approximately 80 nucleotides in length. Their secondary structure includes four short double-helical elements and three loops (D, anti-codon, and T loops). Further hydrogen bonds mediate the characteristic L-shaped molecular structure. tRNAs have two regions of fundamental functional importance: the anti-codon, which is responsible for specific mRNA codon recognition, and the 3' end, to which the tRNAs corresponding amino acid is attached (by aminoacyl-tRNA synthetases). tRNAs cope with the degeneracy of the genetic code in two manners: having more than one tRNA (with a specific anti-codon) for a particular amino acid; and 'wobble' base-pairing, i.e. permitting non-standard base-pairing at the 3rd anti-codon position. Lineage: Eukaryota; Metazoa; Chordata; Mammalia; Rodentia; Sciuridae. The record is from Rfam by way of RNAcentral.
GGGGUUAUAGCUCAGUUGGUAGAGUGUUUGCCCAACAUCACAAGGCUCUGGGUUCAAUCCCCAGCACCACCA